Molecule: long non-coding RNA, 833 nt
Filed under: Monodelphis domestica (gray short-tailed opossum)
Lineage: Eukaryota; Metazoa; Chordata; Mammalia; Didelphimorphia; Didelphidae
Description: lncRNA (ENSMODG00000050441.1)
Source: RNAcentral
UGAGUAGAUGGAAGUCAAUAUUUAUUUGAGAAUAUACUGAAUUUCAUAAAGUCAAAUAGGGGCAGGUGAGUUCAACAUAUUGAGAAGACCCAUUUGUAAUCAGAGCUGUGGAUAUUCAUGCUUACAAGUCCUAAUUCCUUGAGGUUCUUAGAUGGUUAGGGAAGGUAGUUAACUAUAGUCUAGAAAUACAAAACAGUUUGCAGAAUUCUUUAGCUCAAAUUAAAUGGAUCUCAACCCAAUGAUGCCUGGCACUUGAGUCAUAGUAGCCUUCCUAGACUUGAAAUGUCUAAACAACUACAGAUCUUCCCACUGAGGAAGAGAAGAAUAUUUUAAAAGACCAAGGAAUCCUAACAGAUAACAACAGUGCCCAAGAACCAACUGUUGGAGAAGUAUUUUCUUGGACCUACUAUGUGCUAGAAAGUACUCCUCAUCCUCAGGCCCAACAUUGAAGUAUAGGAACAUGGAAAAAAAGUAAAAUCUACUUGGAGGCUUGGCUACAGAAUAUGAAAGAGAGCUCUGCUUUGUGGGAUCCUUCUCCCUCAUUUGAGAGAAAAUGCUUGCUAAGGAAUGACAAGAGUCCUGAUGAUCAUAUAGAAAAAAUCCCAGCUGGGUAAUCAUGGCUGCAAUCUAGAUGCCACACGCUUCUUCUCCCUGGCACCAAACAAAAUAGACUACAUCAAAGGAGCAUAAAAAUCACCUUUGGAGGAACAGAAGGACUCCCCAGUACACCACAGAGGCAAACGUACAUGGGGUUUGAACAUUUCCACACUAUAAUAAGAAGGAAGAAAAGCUUGCACAGAAAAGUGAACUGAGCCACCCUUCCCCCAUCGCAC